Molecule: long non-coding RNA, 202 nt
Filed under: Mytilus galloprovincialis (Mediterranean mussel)
Lineage: Eukaryota; Metazoa; Mollusca; Bivalvia; Mytilida; Mytilidae
Source: RNAcentral
UUUAAAAAGAAUAACUAAUUAAAGAAUUCAAAUAUUGAAAAAUAUUCAACUCGUGACCAAACAACACUGAUAAUUAACUCAUGAGCUAAAAAUAAAAAAAGAAGAAAAAUACAAAAAGACGAUCAACAGUUUGAAAAACUCAAUAUUGACAACAAAAGACCGAGCAACAUGAACCCCUUAUGGGUGCAGGUGCUACGAAAGG